This 161-nucleotide ribosomal RNA is filed under the name Musa acuminata subsp. malaccensis (wild Malaysian banana). RNAcentral's name for it is "Eukaryotic small subunit ribosomal RNA". It matches the Rfam family "Eukaryotic small subunit ribosomal RNA", at positions 1667 to 1823 of the family's 1831-position model. Lineage: Eukaryota; Viridiplantae; Streptophyta; Magnoliopsida; Zingiberales; Musaceae. The record is from Rfam by way of RNAcentral.
CACCGCCCGUCGCUCCUACCGAUUGAAUGGUCCGGUGAAGUGUUCGGAUCGAGGCGACGGGGGCGGUUCGCCGCCCGCGACGUCGCGAGAAGUCCACUGAACCUUAUCAUUUAGAGGAAGGAGAAGUCGUAACAAGGUUUCCAUAUGUGAACUUGCGAAAG